UACGUAGGUGACCAGCGUUGUCCGGAUUUACUGGGCGUAAAGAGCGCGCAGGCGGUCGUUCAAGUCGAGUGUGGAAGCCCCCGGCUCAACUGGGGAGGGUCACGCGAUACUGAUCGACUCGAAGGCAGGAGAGGGUAGUGGAAUUCCCGGUGUAGUGGUGAAAUGCGUAGAUAUCGGGAGGAACACCAGUGGCGAAGGCGACUACCUGGCCUGUUCUUGACGCUGAGGCGCGAAAGCUAGGGGAGCAAACGGG
This 253-nucleotide ribosomal RNA is filed under the name uncultured bacterium. RNAcentral's name for it is "partial 16S ribosomal RNA". It matches the Rfam family "Bacterial small subunit ribosomal RNA", at positions 524 to 776 of the family's 1533-position model. The record is from RNAcentral.